GGCACUAGUAGCUCAGGCUAGCAAGGAAGGAAAAAAGAGGAAGUUUCUCUCUGCGUUCUGAUUACACUCUGAAUUCCCUUGUAGUGAGCUUACUUCUCUCCACCCACUUCUUACCAAGAACUCCUUAACUUGAGGGUGAACAACUUAAAGCUUGAUCCUACAGUUACCUGAAAAGUGAUUUGAGUAUUCAUUGAACUGAAAGAACAAAUCGCCUACUUCAGGCGGUGGCAAGCGUAUGGAAAUUAUAUUAGAACUUCAGCAAAGUGCACAGCUGCAUAAUAGAGAAGCCGGCACUCAGAUUGACAGGCAAAUAAGCCAGCUUGUGGAAGGGGCCUCUGGGUGGCAGCUCUGGGCUUUUGGGUGUUGGACAACCAUAGGCAAAACUGAAAUGGAACAGGGGCAGAAAAUAGCACACUUUUACUCUACGCAACUGUUGCUUUUUCAUGAUCUUCAGGAAUUUUACUGGGAUAAUUAUCCAAAUAAAUUGCAAGCAUUCUAUCCAAAUGGAGCUCUUUCUGAGAUGAAGAGAAUUCUCAAUGUCAAGAUUUGAACAAGAAGAGAAUGGAAUACACAAUAUGGACAUCCAUAAAAAUUCAUCAGAGAGCAUUUUACUACUGAGCUGCAAAGGGAAAAACUUAAAAUGGAUAUGAAAAGUGAAGAAAGUGAUCAUAGGAGAAAACCAUUUCAGAUCAACCACCUCAGAAGAGCCAGAUUCCACUUCUGUGGCCAGGACUUUUACAUUAUGGCUGGUCCGAUUGUUUUACCCUGCGUUCUAUGCUACUAAACCUUGGAUCAUUCCUAAAGUGUCUGAUGAUUUGUGAGCCUCAAGUGACUACUCUGUGGAAUCAUCUGUCCUUGCCUUUGAAUUAGCUUUCCCUAGGCCAUGAGUCAACAUUAGUAGUUUAUACAUCCAAAUUGAUGACAAGAGCACCUCAAAGGCAGCAGCCUCAAGGAGCAGCCAUGGCCCCAGACUUGUCGCACGGAUGCAGAAAACUUAAUGGAGGAGGCUGAGGUCAGAAUGGGAAGAGUUUUUAAAAAAUAAAAAGGGGAGCUAAUAUGUGA
This is a long non-coding RNA of Homo sapiens (human), 1062 nucleotides long. Ensembl annotates it as mir-99a-let-7c cluster host gene. Its record names the gene MIR99AHG. NCBI's taxonomy places the organism in Eukaryota, Metazoa, Chordata, Mammalia, Primates, Hominidae. The record is from Ensembl.